UACGUAGGGUGCAAGCGUUGUCCGGAAUUAUUGGGCGUAAAGAGCUCGUAGGCGGUCUGUCGCGUCGGCUGUGAAAACCCGAGGCUCAACCUCGGGCCUGCAGUCGAUACGGGCAAACUAGAGUACUGCAGGGGAGACUGGAAUUCCUGGUGUAGCGGUGAAAUGCGCAGAUAUCGGGAGGAACACCAAUGGCGAAGGCAGCUUGCUGGGACGGUACUGACGCUGAGGCGCGAAAGCGUGGGGAGCAAACAGG
Molecule: ribosomal RNA, 253 nt
Filed under: uncultured bacterium
Lineage: Bacteria
Description: partial 16S ribosomal RNA
Rfam family: Bacterial small subunit ribosomal RNA
Source: RNAcentral